GACGAACGCUGGCGGCGUGCUUAACACAUGCAAGUCGAACGGAAAGGCCCUGCUUUUGUGGGGUGCUCGAGUGGCGAACGGGUGAGUAACACGUGAGUAACCUGCCCUUGACUUUGGUAUAACUUCAGGAAACUGGGGCUAAUACCGGAUAGGAGCUCCUGCUGCAUGGUGGGGGUGGGAAAGUUUCGGCGGUUGGGGAUGGACUCGCGGCUUAUCAGCUUGUUGGUGGGGUAGUGGCUUACCAAGGCUUUGACGGGUAGCCGGCCUGAGAGGGUGACCGGCCACAUUGGGACUGAGAUACGGCCCAGACUCCUACGGGAGGCAGCAGUGGGGAAUAUUGCACAAUGGGCGGAAGCCUGAUGCAGCAACGCCGCGUGCGGGAUGACGGCCUUCGGGUUGUAAACCGCUUUCGCCUGUGACGAAGCGUGAGUGACGGUAAUGGGUAAAGAAGCACCGGCUAACUACGUG
This 468-nucleotide ribosomal RNA is filed under the name uncultured bacterium. RNAcentral's name for it is "partial 16S ribosomal RNA". It matches the Rfam family "Bacterial small subunit ribosomal RNA", at positions 28 to 507 of the family's 1533-position model. The record is from RNAcentral.